This 397-nucleotide unclassified non-coding RNA is filed under the name uncultured fungus. RNAcentral's name for it is "partial contains small subunit ribosomal RNA, internal transcribed spacer 1, and 5.8S ribosomal RNA". The stretch from base 1 to 73 matches the Rfam family "Eukaryotic small subunit ribosomal RNA", at positions 1759 to 1831 of the family's 1831-position model. Lineage: Eukaryota; Fungi. The record is from RNAcentral.
UCAAACUUGGUCAUUUAGAGGAAGUAAAAGUCGUAACAAGGUUUCCGUAGGUGAACCUGCGGAAGGAUCAUUAACAAAUUGAUUAGAUGCAAAUUUGAUCAGGUUUAAUAAUUCACCCAAUUUACUGUGAAAUUUGACAGAAAGUUUGAUAGCUUCUGGUAUUUGGUUUUUUCUGACUGAUGUUUGAAAAUUGAAUUGCCUGCCAGAAGUUUUUUUUUCUAUCUAAUAAACUAUUGCCUAUAAAUUGUGUGUGUAUUUUUGUAUAGACUUUUGACUUGGAGAAGUGACCUAGAAUGAAUUCAUUCGAAUUGUUCAGGUCAGAAUUCAGUCAAAAAUUUAACUCAAUACAACUUGCAACAAUGGAUCUCUUGGCUCUUGCAUCGAUGAAGAACGCAGC